GCUGGAAUAGCUCAGCUGGU
This 20-nucleotide non-coding RNA is filed under the name Arabidopsis thaliana (thale cress). The record is from RNAcentral. Lineage: Eukaryota; Viridiplantae; Streptophyta; Magnoliopsida; Brassicales; Brassicaceae.